AUUGAACGCUGGCGGCAUGCCUUACACAUGCAAGUCGAACGGCAGCAUGAUCUAGCUUGCUAGAUUGAUGGCGAGUGGCGAACGGGUGAGUAAUACAUCGGAACGUGCCCUGUAGUGGGGGAUAACUAGUCGAAAGAUUAGCUAAUACCGCAUACGACCUGAGGGUGAAAGUGGGGGACCGCAAGGCCUCAUGCUAUAGGAGCGGCCGAUGUCUGAUUAGCUAGUUGGUGAGGUAAAGGCUCACCAAGGCGACGAUCAGUAGCCGGUCUGAGAGGACGAUCAGCCACACUGGGACUGAGACACGGCCCAGACUCCUACGGGAGGCAGCAGUGGGGAAUUUUGGACAAUGGGCGAAAGCCUGAUCCAGCAAUGCCGCGUGUGUGAAGAAGGCCUUCGGGUUGUAAAGCACUUUUGUCCGGAAAGAAAUGGCUCUGGUUAAUACCUGGGGUCGAUGACGGUACCGGAAGAAUAAGGACCGGCUAACUACGUG
This 490-nucleotide ribosomal RNA is filed under the name uncultured bacterium. RNAcentral's name for it is "partial 16S ribosomal RNA". It matches the Rfam family "Bacterial small subunit ribosomal RNA", at positions 30 to 507 of the family's 1533-position model. The record is from RNAcentral.